UGUUAGGGUUCGCUUUGUUAGAUGGAAUAGACGAUAGAGAAUAUGAAGUAGCAGGCAGCGAAAGUCAUGUGGAGUACCGCAAUCUGGAGGAGAUUCAUCCUUCCCGAGAGAGGGUUGUGCUUUCGUCGGGAUUUCAGCUCCACGAUAUACGUCAGCAGACUAUCAUAUUACACAAGCGAUGAGGAUUUCGAAAACAUGUUCUCGCGGUUUGGCCGUGUGGAGGAAGCUAGGCUUAUCAGGGACGCAAGAACUAAUAGGCCUAAAGGCUUUGGCUUUGUGACUUAUGCAUCUGAUGCUGAAGCAGAGAAGGCAAUAAAAUCUAUGGAUGGAAGGGAUGAGGAACUUUUGAGGUCAAGCAUAUGCCUCUACCAUUAAGAUGCAAUUGAGGUUGACUACUACUUUGUCCUCCUAGAACUGUGAGACCCUGGAUAUCAGGUUGCUGUUCUUCUUCUCAAAUCUGUAAAUGGUACAUCCUUUACGUUGGAAGAAGACACAGAAUUUGGCAGGAACUAGGCAGGUAAGAGGCAAAGAGUGAGCCGUGUUGCCAUGGUAGAGGGCGAGCUUUGACACUAUGGCGUGGUUGCUCUAUUGCACUUUGGUUUUAAGGGUUUGAACUGUGAAAUCAUCUACUCACUUAUAUAUGGUGGGAGGCUGAUAUUUGUGGAAUAUGCCAAGUCUGGGUCACAGGAGGACAAAACAUAAUUUUCUCCAGUGGUUUCCAGUUGCUUACAGAGGAUGUUCAUACAAAGAUGGAGAUCAGAUCCCAUCAAUGGUAAGUUCAUUCCUGUUAGUAGUCACAAACAUGAGAACUGUAUGGUUCCAUUUAAAGGUGUAAUUGAAUAGGUACUGCAUAUAAAUAAAUAACUUGUUAAUCUGAGCAUAGCCUUUGGAAAAAUUCUGUUGAUGUCCAUCCUUGGAGUCUUUGUUUUUGAGUUUUGUGGCAAAUAUCAACUCCACAGUGCUUUAGAAAUGCAAUGACCAUUUAAACCUCAAGGCAUAUGUACAAAGUCUCUUCUAUGCCACAGGUCACUUGGACCUGACAUCAAAAGGAUAAGGCUGUCUCUCUUUUCUUACCAUUUUCUAGUUGUACUUUCUCCAGUGAGGUUGAGUUCAAUAAAUCAUUCCCUUGGGAUACAGACAUCACCCUGCCACUUAUCCAUAUUGCCUAAAUUAAUUUUUAGUUCAUGUGCAAUCUCCAUCUUAAACUUUGGAUCUACAGUCUCAGAGUAGAUGGCUAGAUUUGACUUUAUAUUAGCAUUAGCCCAGCUUUCAAAUGUGGUUCAACCAUGUGCAGUCUUGUUUUGGAUUGGACCAAGUACAUAACCCAUGGAUAUCUCCUUUCAUGUUCAGGGCAUUCAGGUAAUUUCAGACCACAUUAGAUCCCAUAUUCUCUCAUAAAUUAUUUCCAUUCAUAUGCAGGGCAUUCUUGUAAAUUCAGAACAUGUCAGAUCCCCAUGUUCUUCUAUAUGUUCGAGCCCCUCUGGCCUCUCCCUGUUGCAUCAUUGCCACAAUAAAGCCGCUUUGAUUUCUCUGCUCCCCUGUUCCCUUCCCUUCUCUUCUUCUCCUCUGCCUCAUCGAUCCACUCUCCCUGCGCUCAUCUGUGUCCGGAGAGGAUGUCUUGUAGGCCUAGUCGUCACCAGAGGAGGGCGUCACAGAGUGUCUUUGUUCUGCCAGAGAGCUUCUCCAUCUCUGAAGCUCCUCCAAUGGAGGUUGGCGAGAAGAAGACUGCGGUGGAAUCGUCUCAGCCAUCGUCUGAACCUGCAGCCCCUUCGCCUCCCCCACCAGCGUUGCCUGGCCAGGAGUUCAAGGAAGCUGUUGCCGAGAAGUAUCGAGACUAAAUCAUGCUCUGCAAGCUCUCCUUGCAACCUUAGAAAUUUCCAUCGAAGUCGGUCAAUUUAAUUUCAUCAGCACUAGUUUCAGUGUUCUUAUGGAACCUCUCAUCCUACUGGUUGAUGGGAUGCAGAAUAAAUGAACCAUUUAUUA
Musa acuminata AAA Group (dessert banana) is the source of this 1983-nucleotide RNA transcript. It is a transcript of the gene named small RNA-binding protein 11, chloroplastic, with no coding region annotated. The transcript is spliced from 7 exons. Lineage: Eukaryota; Viridiplantae; Streptophyta; Magnoliopsida; Zingiberales; Musaceae. The record is from RefSeq and is a predicted model, not a curated record.